AUCAACGGCAUCACGAGGGUCCCACUGUCUCCCCCCUCCAAUCAGUGAAACUGAUCUCCCCGUGAAGAAGCGGGGAUAAGUAUAUUAGACGAGAAGACCCCAUGGAGCUUUAAACCCGACAGCACCCACUUAUUUAACACCUUCUUAUCCGCCUGGCCCCUGUCUGCUCGGUUUUGGGUUGGGGUGACCGCGGAGCAUAAAAUAGCCUCCACGAAAGAAGGGAUGAUUCCCUCAUUUUAGAACUACACUUCCAAAGACUAACAAAUUAAUUUUAAGUGAUCCGAUACCCGUAUUCGAUCAACGAACCAAGUUACCCUGGGGAUAACAGCGCAAUCUACCUCAAGAGCCCCUAUCGACAGGUGGGUUUACGACCUCGAUGUUGGAUCA
RNAcentral lists this ribosomal RNA (387 nucleotides) under Boophis reticulatus. RNAcentral describes it as "partial 16S ribosomal RNA". It matches the Rfam family "Bacterial large subunit ribosomal RNA", at positions 1992 to 2539 of the family's 2925-position model. Lineage: Eukaryota; Metazoa; Chordata; Amphibia; Anura; Mantellidae. The record is from RNAcentral.